AUGGCGUAGCUAGGUUGCUCUAGGCGCCGGAUGUAGGUUUGUGUUAUCCCGAUUUCGGAUGAACUAGAGAUAGAGGAACAGAGAAAAUGACCCUGAGGGAAGAUUCUGAUCCAGAAUAUGAAACAUUCUAUAAGAAAAUGCCUAAAUUCUUCAAAAAGAACCCGCAUGUGUUCAGAGAGCCACCCCUCCUCAGCAUUAGUCCCCUUGCUUCAGAGAAGCAUCCCAUCACCCUCAGCGUGAAGGGAGGAGCCCUGUAGUCUGAAGCUAAACACCAUGAUUCAGGAAUG
This is a long non-coding RNA of Neogale vison (American mink), 287 nucleotides long. RefSeq lists it as uncharacterized. The transcript is spliced from 3 exons. The record is from RefSeq and is a predicted model, not a curated record. NCBI's taxonomy places the organism in Eukaryota, Metazoa, Chordata, Mammalia, Carnivora, Mustelidae.